RNAcentral lists this ribosomal RNA (356 nucleotides) under uncultured soil bacterium. RNAcentral describes it as "bacterial SSU rRNA". It matches the Rfam family "Bacterial small subunit ribosomal RNA", at positions 26 to 391 of the family's 1533-position model. The record is from RNAcentral.
AGAUUGAACGCUGGCGGCAUGCCUAACACAUGCAAGUCGAACGGGAGUAGCAAUACUCUAGUGGCGGACGGGUGAGGAAUACGUAGGAAUUUGCCCUUAAGUGGGGGAUAACCCGGGGAAACCCGGAUUAAUACCGCAUGACCUCGAAAGAGCAAAGUGGGGAUCGCAAGACCUCACGCUUUGGAGAAGCCUACGUCGGAUUAGCUAGUUGUGAGUAAUGGCUCACCAAGGCGACGAGUCCGUAACGUGGUCCUGAGAGGAUGAUCAGUCACACCGGAACUGACGACACGGUCCGACUCCGUACGGGAGGCAGCAGGUGGGAAUAGUGGACAAGUGGGCGCGAAGCCUGACUCCAG